GACGAACGCUGGCGGCGUGCCUAACACAUGCAAGUCGAGCGGAGUCAGUAAGAGGAAGUUUUCGGAUGGAAUCUUAUUGAUUUAGCGGCGGACGGGUGAGUAACGCGUGAGCGAUCAACCUUGCACAGGGGGAUAACGGACCGAAAGGUUCACUAAUACCGCAUGAGACCACGGUGUUGCAUGACACAGGGGUCAAAGGAGCAAUCCGGUGCAAGACGGGCUCGCGUCCGAUUAGGUAGUUGGAGGGGUAACGGCCCACCAAGCCUAUGAUCGGUAGCCGACCUGAGAGGGUGAUCGGCCACAUUGGAACUGAGAUACGGUCCAAACUCCUACGGGAGGCAGCAGUGGGGAAUAUUGGGCAAUGGGGGAAACCCUGACCCAGCAACGCCGCGUGAAGGAAGAAGGUUUUCGGAUUGUAAAGUUCUGUGAUUGGGGAAGAAUGGUAUUCUUAGGGAAUGAGGAGUACAUGACGGUACCCGAUUAGAAAGCCCCGGCUAACUAUGUGCCAGCAGCCGCGGU
RNAcentral lists this ribosomal RNA (519 nucleotides) under uncultured bacterium. Its description in RNAcentral is "bacterial SSU rRNA". It matches the Rfam family "Bacterial small subunit ribosomal RNA", at positions 28 to 521 of the family's 1533-position model. The record is from RNAcentral.